CGUUAGAACUUGGAACCACACCACUAUAUACACAAACAAACUUACGGUUCACAAACUGGGAAAUCUUCUCCGGUCCCCUCCCUCCCUCCUUCCCCCUCUCUCUCUCUCUCUCUCUCUCUCUCUCUCUCUCUGGACCCAUAAUUUUCUCUCUUUUGACUUUCUUCGGUUCUGUGUUUAGACUACUUGUAAAAUGUCAACCGGUGGCACCGCCACCAAUUCCGCCAGCGGCAGUCCCCGAGCGGGCGGCGGAACCGCCACCCACCACCGCCGCCGUGUCGCCGAAACCAUGAACGACCCCGAAAAAUUAUCAGAUCAUUUACAAAUCGGGCUUGAUUAUUACGGUGAUAAUAAUACAAAUAUCAACGCUGGUGGAAACUUUCAUCAUCACCAUUAUCACCAUCACCAUCAUAAUUUGAUAAUACGUUACUUAUUAGCAUGUAAAUGGAUGUCAGAAAGUAUGGUAUUUAGAGUAGAAGAAUGUUUAUUAAGUAUUGGUACAAUUAUGGCAUGUUUAGGAUCAAGAAAGAAUAUGGUUCGUACGAUAUUUGGGUUGUUAUUGUUUUUGGUGGUUUUAUCUGUAUUUCUCAAGUUUUCUAUUAUGAUGAAUGGUAAUGUUGAAGAUGUAAAUAAUGGGAAUCUGAUGAGGAGAGAGAACGGACUUUUUGUUCUUCAGAAUUUGAAGAAUGAUUGGAUUAAUGCUCAAAGAGUUGUUUCUGAAACAGAGACCACUGCCUUUUCUGCUUCUGAGGUUGUGCAAAAACGUCAGAUGAAGGAGUUACCUGUACCAGAAAUAUGGUUGAAGCCACCCACUGAUAAUUACUACAAAUGCAUUGCUCGGCCAAGGAAUCGAAUAAGAACUGGCUCAUCGACCAAUGGAUAUAUCUUGGUUCAUGCCAAUGGAGGAUUAAACCAAAUGAGAACAGGGAUAUGUGAUAUGGUGGCUAUCGCAAAAAUUUUAAAUGCCACUCUGGUUCUUCCUUCUCUUGAUCAUGAAUCCUUUUGGACAGAUCCCAGUGAUUUUAAAGAUAUUUUUGACUGGAGACGCUUCAUUGACGUUUUAAGAGACGACAUUGAGAUUGUUGAAUCUUUGCCACCAAAAUAUGCAGCUGUGACCCCCAUUCAGAAGGCACCUGUGUCUUGGUCAAAGGCUAGUUACUAUAGAGGGGAGAUUCUUUCUUUACUAAAGAAGCAUAAGGUGAUACAAUUUACCCACACAGAUUCAAGGCUUGCUAACAAUGGUCUGGCAUCCUCUAUUCAGAGGCUUCGCUGUCGAGCAAAUUAUGAGGCUCUACGAUACACAAAUGAGAUUGAGGAGCUUGGAAAGAAGUUGGUGGAUAGACUUAGAGACAACGGUGAACCAUACAUUGCUCUCCACUUAAGAUAUGAAAAAGACAUGCUAGCCUUUACUGGCUGCAGCAACAAUAUGACUGCUGAAGAGGCUGAGGAACUUCGUAUUAUGAGGUAUCAAGUGAAGCACUGGAAAGAGAAAGAGAUAGACGGCAAUGAGAAGCGACUGCAAGGGGGAUGCCCCAUGUCCCCUAGGGAAGCUGCCUUGUUUCUUAAAGCAAUGGGAUAUCCAUCCACGACCAUGAUAUAUGUUGUCGCUGGGGAAAUUUAUGGCAACAACAGCAUGGAUGCAUUUCGGAGAGAGUAUCCCAAUGUUUUCUCUCACUCAACUCUUACAACAAAGGAAGAACUUGAGGCUUUUAGGCAUUAUCAAAACCGUCUUGCUGCCCUAGAUUAUCUCGUAGCCCUUGAAAGUGACGUCUUUGUUUAUACAUAUGAUGGUAAUAUGGCGAAGGCGGUACAAGGGCAUAGAAGGUUUGAAGGAUUUCGAAAGACCAUAAACCCUGACAGACUCAAUAUUGUAAGAUUGGUUGAUUUGUUGGAUAAGGGUGCGAUCUCUUGGGAAGAGUUUGCUUCAGAGGUCAAGGCGUUACAUUCCAACAGAUUAGGAGCUCCUUACCUUAGACAAGCUGGAGAAUUACCAAGAUUAGAAGAGAACUUUUAUGCAAAUCCUUUUCCAGGUUGUAUCUGUGAUAGAUCUUUGAUGGAAGUGAGCAAGCAGCAAAUUAACAAGAGACCGAGUUUGAAAGCUGCUACACAAAGAUAAGGAUUUAUUUCAAGUUGGUAAUAGGUUGUAGAUUAGACAAAUGCCAGCAUAUGAUAUAUUCAAGGGGCUGCCAAAAUUUGAGCCUUUUAUGCCUUUUAGUAUAUUAGACAGCAAGCAACGUCGGAAGCAGAAAUGGUGGCUUAUAAGACGAACAGAAGAGGCAGAAUACAAUACAGAUGUGUGACCAUAAUUCAGAGUUUUGGAUUUGCUCUGGUUCCUUUACAACGUACACAAAAUACAUAAAGCAACAUUACGCUAUUACUAAAAAUAGCAGUGACGACAACUGAUGGAGUCUGAUAAUGCUUUCUUAUCGUUGAACCUGCAUCCUUAUCCUGAGCCCAACAGAUUGUGGUCCUAAACAAAACUCAUUCAUCAAGUAAGGUACUGGUUAUAUUUGGCAAGAUUCAUACGCCAUUGUGUUUCCAGUUUUGUGCUAUGAUGUCAAUCAAAUCUACUAUAAAUAGGACUGUGAUCAUUGCAUUGAUGUUGGAUGCAAUAGUAAAUUUAAACAAGUCACAUGAUUCUGUUAUGACGUUUACUAAAGAUUCAAGUUCUCCAGUAAGUUUAGCAGUUUCUGGUGAGGAGAAAGAAAAAUAACCAAGAAAAUACAUUGGUACUCACUGAGAUUGUUUUCUUGAAAGAAGUCAUUCAUACGGAUGGGGCGUUGAGAGGUCCACGGACCUGCAAAAUCCCCUUAUUUACGGAGUACUGAGUUUUAGUACUUAGAAAAGGCUCCACAGUCAUUUAAAAAAAGGCAGCUCGGUGCACGAAGCAUCCCGCGUUUACUCAGGGUCCGAGGAAGAACCACACCACCCCAAGGGACGUGAUGUAGGCAGUCUACCCUAACGCAAGCAUCAGCGAACCAAAACUUGACCCAAAAUGGUUGAAAUGCUUGACCGUGAACAAAAAUGGUUGAAAUGCUUGAGGUGGGGCGGUGAACUGAGAGUUCCGAGAAAGAAAGAAUCCCAUAUCAUAUGCUACACAGGCUUUCCAUAUUGGAACUUUUCUUUUCCCAUAAUUGCAAAGGAAUAACUAACGCUCAAUUGGACAACAAUAUAUUCUAAUUUGUGACCUUACGGUUUGAAAUUGAAACAUCUUGACCAUCCUACUGUCACAUAGUAGAGCUCUCCAAGUUAGACUCAAUAUGCCACUUUGGGCAGGGGUCCUAUGUGUAAUGUGGGAUCAUCGGACCCCGUA
This is an RNA transcript of Nicotiana attenuata, 3310 nucleotides long. RefSeq lists it as uncharacterized. The transcript is spliced from 9 exons. The record is from RefSeq and is a predicted model, not a curated record. Lineage: Eukaryota; Viridiplantae; Streptophyta; Magnoliopsida; Solanales; Solanaceae.